AGUUUGAUCCUGGCUCAGAAUCAACGCUGGCGGCGUGCCUAACACAUGCAAGUCGAGCGAGAAAAGGGGAGCAAUCCCCUGAGUAAGGCGGCGCACGGGUGAGUAACACGUGGGUAAUCUGCCCUGGAGCGGGGAAUAACACCGGGAAACCGGUGCUAAUACCGCAUACGAUAACGAUGUCUGUGGACGAUGUUAUGAAAGGAGCAAUUCGCUCCAGGAGGAGCCCGCGGCUGAUUAGCUAGUUGGUGAGGUAAUGGCUCACCAAGGCAUCGAUCAGUAGCCGGUCUGAGAGGACGGUCGGCCACACUGGAACUGAGACACGGUCCAGACUCCUACGGGAGGCAGCAGUGGGGAAUUUUUGGCAAUGGGGGAAACCCUGACCAAGCAACGCCGCGUGGAUGAUGAAGUAUCUCGGUACGUAAAAUCCUUUCGACAGGGAAGAAACCCGCAAGGGUUGACGGUACCUGUAGAAAGAGGCCCCGGCUUAACUCCGUGCCAGCAGCCGCGGUAAUACGGGGGGG
RNAcentral lists this ribosomal RNA (521 nucleotides) under uncultured bacterium. Its description in RNAcentral is "bacterial SSU rRNA". It matches the Rfam family "Bacterial small subunit ribosomal RNA", at positions 10 to 533 of the family's 1533-position model. The record is from RNAcentral.